GUUGCCUGUAGCUUAAACCUAAAGUAUAGCACUGAAAAUGCUAAGAUGGUACAACCCUUCAACAA
This 65-nucleotide transfer RNA is filed under the name Trimeresurus stejnegeri stejnegeri. Its description in RNAcentral is "tRNA-Phe". Lineage: Eukaryota; Metazoa; Chordata; Lepidosauria; Squamata; Viperidae. The record is from RNAcentral.